UUUAAUCGUUAUUGGCCAGAGGCAGAGUUGGAGGGUGAACGUUUGGCCUGGUCACUAUUGAUGAUCGUAGAGUUUGAACAUAUUCUCUUCACAUCGUAUCUGCAUAUAUCGAAAUUGGUAACAGCGUUUACACCUCUGAAUUUUAUUGCCGCGAUAUCGUACGCCUCCGCUGCUUCUUCUUGUGUGCCUUCAUUAUUGUAUCAAAAUUUGGUAUAGAGAUAUAUUCAUAUAUUUAUAUAUUAAAAUAGUAUAUACUCACUGAAAGUUCCCAAGUAGAGAUCUUUGUUUCCGGCAACUCGGCCGAUCCUAGCUUGCCAUCUUCCAUGUUGAUGAUGCCUGCAAGCGAUUAUACAUGCAUGAUCACGAUCCUAAUCUAUUAACAUGCCUAAAUGUGCGCAAUUUCUCAAACGUAUAUAUGUCCAGACCAAACCUUGUGACUCCUCUGUAAAUCGAAGCUCCCCUUGAAAAUCCACUGCUAUUCCUAUAUGUGAGAAAGUCGACACAAAAUGUUGGUCAAGGUGUUUGUAGGCUAAAAAUAAAUUAUCAGUUCAAAAAAAAAAGUUGUUCAAGGUGAUGAUUGGCAAGUGCUUUAGAACUGAUUUACAAUAUUUCUAUAGCUAACUUUUUUUUUCAAAAACGCAAAUCUGUCAUGUUUUAGAUUUUUUUUUAAAGCUAUAAAUUUUUCUUUUAUUUUUUUCAUUUUUGGUUUUAGAAAAUAAAAUACCUAAAAUACUUAUAUCUUGGUUUCAGAAAAUUUACAACUAGAUAAUUAAAUAUUUUCAAACCUACGACCAAAAUCUUACGGCAAAAAUAUUUACACCUACAAAAAAUCUAUAGCAUAUUUUCACAGUAAAAUAUAUAUAGUACUAAUAUUUAGUUCCAUAUAUAUCAAAUAUAAAUACAAAGGGAAAUCUCUUAAAUAAUACAACAAAACUGUGAUAAAAAUAGCACAUUUUUAAAAAAUAACAUUAACUAAAGGAUAAAACGAUUAAAUUACUCCAAAACUUAAACUCUAACCCUAUUCUAUCUCAUAAUAAGAAACCCUAAACCCCAAAAAAUUCAAAUAUAAAAUAAAAUAUGAAAAAACUUUUAAUUAGUUUUAUUUUGAUUUUUUUUUUCUCAUAUACUAUAUAUUUUACAUAGAAAAUGUGAAUAAAAAUUUGUUUUACUGCUAUCCUAAAGUAUUUUUCUAAAUACAAUUUAGCAUCGAGAGGAGAGUGAUUCUGAGUUUAUUUACCUCCUCAACAUGGCAACAAAUUCUUGCCUCGUCAUGUUGUUGAGUUCCUCCAUCUCCUUUUCGUAAUUACUCAACUGAAUUGAAGAAUGUAAGAAAAACUGACAUCACUAUUCACCAGCAAACUCUAUAUCUUUCAAUCAAAAGAGUCAAUAAGUUCGUUAAGAAACGCAUUCAGGAUCUAAAUAUCGAUAUAAAUAUGUUGUAUUUGGUGUAUGUAAUAAUAGUAGCUAAUAGUGGAGGUAUGGUCCACUCCAUAAAAGAAACUUACAGGGAAAUUUAAGUGAGUAGUAGGACCCCAAUACUUCAUGGCCGCUAAAUCAUAAGCCCUCGCAGCUUUCUCCUCAUCAUCAUACCCUCCUGUUAUAGUAUUACUUAAGAGCAUUAUAUUUAUCAUUUAGUAAAGUUGACAACGUUUUCAAUAUCACCAAAUGAAAGAAAACUUAAAAGGUUGUUGCAGAAUAGGUUGUUGAAAUAAAGUUUUUUCGCUUACCAAGAUACACUGUCAUUGAUCAAGAGGCGAAUUUGAAAGUAUAUAGAAAAACCAAAAAAACAUUAUUAGUACAAUUCACGAAUAAUAAGAUUAUACAAUUAAAUGGAAAUUUAAUCAUUUUAAAAUUUGUUUUCUAACCUUGUCUUCCCCUUCGCGACUGUCCUUCUUUCUUACAGCUAUUGUCCCAUAAGUGAGCUUCAUAUCUCCCUGUCCACCUAUGUCUGUAUACGUGCAUAUAUAUAUAUAUCACGUGACGUCGACACAACAAUAUUUACAACUAAAACAACGCAGAAAUAUAUAUAUGUGUAAUUUAGUGUAGCAUUCACAUUGUUAUAUCGUGUACGUUCUUUAACAAACUAAAAUAAAAAUGUCAUGUAAGUUUAAGGCAUCGACAAUUUAAUUACGUACUUUGUAACUCCACGAUACUGAGAAGUUCUUUGCCCCAAACUAUCAACCGACUUCCUCGUUUCCACCGGUUCCUUGGCCUGCGAUUUACCGACCAAACUCUUUCUCUUCUCGUCUACCUUAACCGGUUCUUCCACCGGUACAGAUACAUUUAAUUCGUUGAUCAGAUCAGAAGCAGCGCCAUGGCUCAGAGUCAACAAUAACGUCGAGCCACUGGUGUUAUAAUCAGUCUCUUCGUGACUAAAGUUACUUGUAUUGCUCGUACUGCCCUCUCCACUAACAUAAGUAUUCGAGACUGGAAAUGUUGGAGUACCUUGCCCUAACCAAGAUUUGAAAACCGAGACCGAACCUCCAUAAUCAUGGCUUAGGUUGGUAUCUAGGUUCGAGUAUUGUGGUGUAGAUACGGCUUGUUCGUAGAGAAGAUAACCAGGUGGGCUUAAUCUGUUAAGCAUUGUAGUGCAGUUCACAUUGGUUUGGUUAUUGCCGCUUAUAGGAGGACACUCAAUUUGAUGAGAGUUGGAGAAGAAAUUUUCCAGCUUUGGCACUUCUUCGUCAUGAUGAUGAUGAUCAUCAUGAUUAAGGUUAAUAUCAUAUUGCCAGACUAUAUAAAGAAAACAAAUUAAGAAUAUAUAUUAAUCGUUGCAUAACCAACAACAUACACUAUAUGUGAGCAUAUAUACUUAUAGUAUAUAUGUGAGCAUAUAUACUUAUAGUAUAUAUGUGAGCAUACGUAUGCAUAGUAUAUAUGUGAGCAUAUCUAUUUAUAGUAUAUAUUUGAGCAUAUAUAUAUAUAUAUAUAUAUAUAUGUUGGGAAUCCUACAUCUGAACAAGCUAAAGAGAAGCAUAGUUAAUACAUUCUAAACAUGACGAGCCAACUUUUCAUUGUUAAUUAAAUGCAUAUGAGUUACAAAUGCAUGAAACUUAACCGUAUAUAUAUACACGUACCAGGAUGAGGAUGAUGUGUGAGAGGAUCAGUGAAGAAGGGAGAACCAUCCGAAUUGAGAGGCAUGAGAGCCUUUUGUUGAUUAGUCACAACAUAGUUUUCUUCGUCUUCUUCUUG
RNAcentral lists this long non-coding RNA (3192 nucleotides) under Brassica napus (rape). RNAcentral's name for it is "long non-coding RNA (BNAP_LNC002557)". The record is from RNAcentral. Lineage: Eukaryota; Viridiplantae; Streptophyta; Magnoliopsida; Brassicales; Brassicaceae.